RNAcentral lists this long non-coding RNA (510 nucleotides) under Nicotiana tabacum (common tobacco). RNAcentral describes it as "long non-coding RNA (NTAB_LNC017379)". Lineage: Eukaryota; Viridiplantae; Streptophyta; Magnoliopsida; Solanales; Solanaceae. The record is from RNAcentral.
AAUUCUCAGGAUUUGUGCAAUCUGGAUGCUGUGUGGAGAUCUGAAAUUUUGUAUAAUGUUAUUAUAAUUUGUAAGUAUGUAACUAUGUAAUUUUCCCUUUUUCUUUUUCUUACUUUUUCCACUUGAGAUGAAGCAAAAGUAUAGUAGCUCUGCUGCUUUUAAGCAUAGUAGUCUUUUUAUGUAAAACUAUGUUUGGAGUAUACUAUAGUAAAAAAUAUUGGAGCAAAAGUAACUGUAGUAGUACAAUUUUCCACUGUAUGUAACUCUUUUUACUUCCUUUUUCCACUUAAGAAAGGUUGAUUGCCAAGCUGUUCAUUUAGAAACUGUCUUUUUAUUUUGUUAGUUGUAAGUGGCAUCUUUUCGUACCUUUGCUCGCCGGUUAUUUUACGUUAGCUGAUACGUUCGUUUUAAUUCAUGUGAACCUAUUUGAUUGGAUACGAAAUUUAAGAAAAAAAAAAUAAUUUUUGAAUUUGUGAUAUAAAAUGAGUUACAUAUAUUUGGUAUGGCUAU